Molecule: ribosomal RNA, 447 nt
Filed under: uncultured bacterium
Lineage: Bacteria
Description: partial 16S ribosomal RNA
Rfam family: Bacterial small subunit ribosomal RNA
Source: RNAcentral
AACGAACGCUGGCGGCAGGCUUAACACAUGCAAGUCGAACGCCCCGCAAGGGGAGUGGCAGACGGGUGAGUAACGCGUGGGAAUCUACCGUGCCCUACGGAACAACAGUUGGAAACGACUGCUAAUACCGUAUACGCCCUACGGGGGAAAGAUUUAUCGGGGUAUGAUGAGCCCGCGUUGGAUUAGCUAGUUGGUGGGGUAAAGGCCUACCAAGGCGACGAUCCAUAGCUGGUCUGAGAGGAUGAUCAGCCACAUUGGGACUGGGACACGGCCCAAACUGCUACGGGGGGCAGCGGUGGGGAAUAUUGGACAAUGGGCGCAAGCUUGAUCCAGCCAUGCCGCGUGAGUGAUGAAGGUCUUAGGAUUGUAAAGCUCUUUCACCGACGAAGAUAAUGACGGUAGUCGAAGAAGAAGCUCCGGCUAACUUCGUGCCAGCAGCCGCCGUAA